UGUUAAAACUUCCAUCCAUUUCUACUGUUAAAAACUAGCAUUACCAGACAGUUACAUGUGACAGCAUGCCACAUUCACCUCAUGUUGAUGUAUAGAGCAGUUUUUAACAGUAAAAAUGGAUGGAAUUUUUAACA
This is a non-coding RNA of Gossypium hirsutum (cotton), 134 nucleotides long. Lineage: Eukaryota; Viridiplantae; Streptophyta; Magnoliopsida; Malvales; Malvaceae. The record is from Rfam.